UAGGGGCUUAGGAUAAACUAGACCAAGGGCCUUCAAAGCCC
RNAcentral lists this transfer RNA (41 nucleotides) under Gadus morhua (Atlantic cod). RNAcentral describes it as "partial tRNA-Trp". Lineage: Eukaryota; Metazoa; Chordata; Actinopteri; Gadiformes; Gadidae. The record is from RNAcentral.